Molecule: long non-coding RNA, 363 nt
Organism: Neopelma chrysocephalum (saffron-crested tyrant-manakin)
Lineage: Eukaryota; Metazoa; Chordata; Aves; Passeriformes; Pipridae
Exons: 3
Source: RefSeq, a predicted model, not a curated record
GUCUGGAGGAAUGGGUUGGAGAGGGACAUAGAGGAAUGGCUGUAGAUAUUUAUUUGUCCUCUCAAAUGGAGGACAAAGCCAAGCAGCUCAUAAAUGGCUUUCAAAGAGUCACAGAAUCACAGAGUGGUGAUGCCAAAAAGCCAAUGCAAGACGGAAGAGUCGGCAGAGAUACACAGAAAGGGGAUUGCAGCAGCCCUGGCCAACAGCACAAGCUGAAGGCAGGCUCCUUCAGUUUCUACCCGGAAAACCCAACAAAGCCUGAAUACUUCUGGAAACCUGCUGCAGGGAAGAGAAAUGAAGAUCUCUCCAUAGGAAUGGAAAGCUAAAAUAGCUGUGUUUCAUGGACCUCACUGAAAUGACAUU